AUUGAACGCUGGCGGCAUGCCUUACACAUGCAAGUCGAACGGCAGCACGGGUGCUUGCCCCUGGUGGCGAGUGGCGCACGGGUGAGUAAUACAUCGGAACAUGUCCUGUAGUGGGGGAUAGCCCGGCGAAAGCCGGAUUAAUACCGCAUACGAUCUACGGAUGAAAGCGGGGGACCUUCGGGCCUCGCGCUAUAGGGUUGGCCGAUGGCUGAUUAGCUAGUUGGUGGGGUAAAGGCCUACCAAGGCGACGAUCAGUAGCUGGUCUGAGAGGACGACCAGCCACACUGGGACUGAGACACGGCCCAGACUCCUACGGGAGGCAGCAGUGGGGAAUUUUGGACAAUGGGCGAAAGCCUGAUCCAGCAAUGCCGCGUGUGUGAAGAAGGCCUUCGGGUUGUAAAGCACUUUUGUCCGGAAAGAAAUCCUUGGCCCUAAUACGGUCGGGGGAUGACGGUACCGGAAGAAUAAGCACCGGCUAACUACGUG
This 486-nucleotide ribosomal RNA is filed under the name uncultured bacterium. RNAcentral describes it as "partial 16S ribosomal RNA". It matches the Rfam family "Bacterial small subunit ribosomal RNA", at positions 30 to 507 of the family's 1533-position model. The record is from RNAcentral.